Molecule: ribosomal RNA, 538 nt
Filed under: uncultured bacterium
Lineage: Bacteria
Description: bacterial SSU rRNA
Rfam family: Bacterial small subunit ribosomal RNA
Source: RNAcentral
AGUAAAUAGAUACCCGGGUAGUCCACGCCGUAAACGAUGUCGACUUGGAGGUUGUGCCCUUGAGGCGUGGCUUCCGGAGCUAAACGCGUUAAAGUCGACCACCUGGGGAGUACGGCCGCAAGGUUAAAACUCAAAUGAAUUGACGGGGGCCCGCACAAGCGGUGGAGCAUGUGGUUUAAUUCGAUGCAACGCGAAGAACCUUACCUACUCUUGACAUCCAGAGAACUUUCCAGAGAUGGAUUGGUGCUUUCGGGAACUCUGAGACAGGUGCUGCAUGGCUGUCGUCAGCUCGUGUUGUGAAAUGUUGGGUUAAGUCCCCGCAACGAGCGCAACCCUUAUCCUUUGUUGCCAGCGGUCCGGCCGGGAACUCAAAGGAGACUGCCAGUGAUAAACUGGAGGAAGGUGGGGAUGACGUCAAGUCAUCAUGGCCCUUACGAGUAGGGCUACACACGUGCUACAAUGGCGCAUACAAAGAGAAGCGACCUCGCGAGAGCAAGCGGACCUCAUAAAGUGCGUCGUAGUCCGGAUUGGAGUCUGC